UACGAAGGGGGCUAGCGUUGUUCGGAUUUACUGGGCGUAAAGCGCACGUAGGCGGAUUGGUCAGUUAGAGGUGAAAUCCCAGAGCUCAACUCUGGAACUGCCUUUAAUACUGCCAAUCUUGAGUCCGGAAGAGGUAAGUGGAAUUCCUAGUGUAGAGGUGGAAUUCGUAGAUAUUAGGAAGAACACCAGUGGCGAAGGCGGCUUACUGGUCCGGUACUGACGCUGAGGUGCGAAAGCGUGGGGAGCGAACAGG
Molecule: ribosomal RNA, 253 nt
Filed under: uncultured bacterium
Lineage: Bacteria
Description: partial 16S ribosomal RNA
Rfam family: Bacterial small subunit ribosomal RNA
Source: RNAcentral